GAUGAAGAACGUAGCGAAAUGCGAUAAGUAAUGUGAAUUGCAGAAUCCAGUGAAUCAUCGAAUCUUUGAACGCACAUUGCGCCCGCCAGCAUUCUGGCGGGCAUGCCUGUUCGAGCGUCAUUUCAACCCUCGACCUCCCUUUGGGGAAGUCGGCGUUGGGGACCGGCAGCACACCGCCGGCCCUGAAAUGGAGUGGCGGCCCGUCCGCGGCGACCUCUGCGUAGUAAACCAACUCGCACCGGAACCCCGACGUGGCCACGCCGUAAAACACCCAACUUCUGAACGCUGACCUCGAAUCAGGUAGGACUACCCGCUGAACUUAAGCAUAUCAAUAAGCGGAGGA
Molecule: unclassified non-coding RNA, 343 nt
Filed under: soil metagenome
Description: partial contains 5.8S ribosomal RNA, internal transcribed spacer 2, and large subunit ribosomal RNA
Rfam family: 5.8S ribosomal RNA (bases 1-120)
Source: RNAcentral